GGAGGACUGAGACCUGGCCUCCCUGGUUAGCUCCUUGAGGCCACUUCUGUGCUUGCACGCAGCCACCUGCUCUCAGAAGCAGCAGUGGUUCAUCAAAUCCCUCUCGCUCAGGAUUCCUCUAACACCUUCCCAGCACACACGCAUACACAGCCAAAGAGUUGUGAAGCUGGGGUUCGAAUCCCUAUGCCCCAGGGCCCACGGGGAAGGGCCAGUCACCGCAGGUGUGGAUGAGCUGAUUCCUCAGCCUUUUUACCAACAGCCAAGGAAUGUGGGAAAGACGGAGUUUAUUCGGAUCAGAGUACAGAUCCAGAGGGAUGGCGCAGAGUGGGAACAAUUUAUUGAGAAAAAGCUUCUGUCUAAGAGAGGCAGAAGGGGGACAGCAAAGUACAUUGGCUGGGUCGGACACUGUCAAGGCCAACUGGCAAGGCCUUUCACUCGGGCCUCACAAAAGGCUCCUCAGACUCAGUUAACAUCAGUGCUGUGCCUCGCGACCGCCCUAGUGCCGGGCCAGGGCUGCGUCACCAGAGCAAUGCCGAGACCUAACCCUUUUGUCAACAAACCUGCCUCAAUCUUCUGACGGAGCCAGCGGUCACUAGUCGAACAGUACCUGAGGAGAGGGUUCAGGAGAGCAUGAUCUGCGGUGGAGCCCGGGGACCGGCAUCUUUCUGGGAAGACACUCAGGGGAAGACAUCCGUGUGACCACACAAGCAGCAGCCACACUGCUGCAGCUGCAAGCCACGGAAGGCCAGGCACUUGACAGCCACCAGAAGCUGGAGAUGGAGGCCCCAGGGGAACCAACCAGCUCAGCACAGUGCCUGCUGUCUGCCACAAGCACCAGAAAGCCGUUAUCCUCACCCGCAUGGUUGCAACAUAGCUGCUGCUUCUCUGGACAUCACUUCCAGGGUUCAGGAAGGAAGAGGAGAUGGACUGAAGGGCUUAUUGCAUUCCAAAAGGCCAACCCCCUGCACACCCAGGGAAAUAGCAUCUGUCUGGGACUGUGGUGCAGAGGCCCCUGGCUGCAAGGGGCUGGGUGAUGGCCCCAGGGCUCCCAGCUGGGAAGUCGUCAUCCUGCUUGGCUCUGGGAAACUGGUUUUCUCAACUCUCACAGCCUCCGCCCUGGUCAAAUAUUUGCCUGAGGUAUUAUCAAGGAGGAAGCUGGUUCACUCAGGACGUGUUUAGGCAGCACCAUAUGGGGAGCAGGAGCCACGGAGCCUGGUUACUGCUUCCUUGCUCUGAGCCUGGGUUUCCCCGCUGCAGGCAUGGGGGCUGUGGACGGUGGCAGGGGAGUCCGCUCUUCCUCCUUCACUUCCUGCCCCUGUCCAGACCCCGCCCCUCCCAGCUGUUCCCCAGGCUGGGCAGCUCAGGACCCCUGAAGCAGGUGUGGCCAGGGCCUCCCUGUCUCCUGCCUGGGCUCCUCAUCUAUCAGCCACACCAGCUGCAGAGAGGGCCUCCAAAGGGCAAACCCUGCCUCGCAUGGUGGCGCACGCUUGUAGUCCCAGCACCCAGGAGGCUGAGGCAGGAGGAUCACUGAGAGUUCUAGGC
This 1542-nucleotide long non-coding RNA is filed under the name Heterocephalus glaber (naked mole-rat). Its description in RNAcentral is "lncRNA (ENSHGLG00100028362.2)". The record is from RNAcentral. Lineage: Eukaryota; Metazoa; Chordata; Mammalia; Rodentia; Bathyergidae.